Molecule: ribosomal RNA, 122 nt
Filed under: Pachypsylla venusta (hackberry petiole gall psyllid)
Lineage: Eukaryota; Metazoa; Arthropoda; Insecta; Hemiptera; Aphalaridae
Source: RNAcentral
GCCAACGAUCAUACCACGUUGAAUACACUAGUUCCCGUCAGAUCACUGAAGUUAAGCAACGUCGGGCGUGGUCAGUACUUGGAUGGGUGACCGCUUGGGAACACCACGUAUCGUUGGCUCAU